Molecule: ribosomal RNA, 427 nt
Filed under: uncultured bacterium
Lineage: Bacteria
Description: partial 16S ribosomal RNA
Rfam family: Bacterial small subunit ribosomal RNA
Source: RNAcentral
UGGGGAAUAUUGCACAAUGGGCGCAAGCCUGAUGCAGCCAUGCCGCGUGUAUGAAGAAGGCCUUCGGGUUGUAAAGUACUUUCAGCGAGGAGGAAGGCGUUGUGGUUAAUAACCGCAGCGAUUGACGUUACUCGCAGAAGAAGCACCGGCUAACUCCGUGCCAGCAGCCGCGGUAAUACGGAGGGUGCAAGCGUUAAUCGGAAUUACUGGGCGUAAAGCGCACGCAGGCGGUCUGUCAAAUCGGAUGUGAAAUCCCCGGGCUCAACCUGGGAACUGCAUCCGAAACUGGCAGGCUAGAGUCUUGUAGAGGGGGGUAGAAUUCCAGGUGUAGCGGUGAAAUGCGUAGAGAUCUGGAGGAAUACCGGUGGCGAAGGCGGCCCCCUGGACAAAGACUGACGCUCAGGUGCGAAAGCGUGGGGAGCAAACA